UAUAAAGAUUUUCUUCGAACCGCCGGACCUGCAAGAUAUAUAUCCAUGGUACGGCGGUCGAUGGGUACAGCGGGAAACUGAUGUGCCUCCCGUGAUUGGAAAGGAGAGAAUAUCAAAGACCU
Molecule: non-coding RNA, 122 nt
Filed under: Marispirochaeta
Lineage: Bacteria; Pseudomonadati; Spirochaetota; Spirochaetia; Spirochaetales; Spirochaetaceae
Also listed under: 1 other name
Description: Candidatus Marispirochaeta MoCo sequence
Rfam family: Molybdenum/Tungsten riboswitch aptamer (Moco RNA motif)
Source: RNAcentral